GAGCCGCGGACCGAGAGAGAUCCUUUGCUGAUGGUGGAAAAGUUAACGCGACAGUAGCAGCCUUUUGUGGAGAAAUUCGGAGAUUUGCUCGCCAUUUCCCAUCGCUUCACCUGCUCCAACCUGGUCAUCUGCUCCUCCGUCUGGAUCUUGCUUCAGCAAACACCACCAUCCUCCAGAGACCACUCACCCUGGACCACUGCUGUUACAGCACUACAGCCCUGGUGAGGAUUGCUGAAGUUAACUUGCAGAUGGAGUAAACGUCACUAAAGAUCAAGUCCCUCCACCAGUGUCUUACAUUAGGGAGUACAUGAAAAAUUCAUGAACUCCAUCUCCCUGCUGGACCUCUGGCAUUUUGUCAGCAAUUCAGUGCCUUCAGAGGUAUCACAUGUACCUGCCCUUCUCGCUUCAGGGCGUAGUCAGUCAAGAGGAUAAAAUAAGCGAAGCAAAGGCAGCGAGCAGAUUAAACACAUUUCUUCUGUAAGACAAAAAGGUGUGAAAGCGUGUCUUGUACCCGAGUGUAAAAGCGAUGGAGGUGAAGUUGGGCUAUAAUGCUCUGUGGCAAAUUGAUUAUAUAUGAGCUGCAACGAAGCACCUGUUCAGAGUAUCGAUCGGGAGACAAUUGGGCUCGACUCAGUCCAGGAGCAACUUUGACAGGCACAGAUGUGAGAUACAUCGAGAGCAUUAAGCCUCCCGCCGCACUUCUUCCUCCUCUUCCUCCUCCCCCCCAACACUCUGACAGAAAUGAUCACUUGUGUAGAUUGGUGUUGGAUGCUGCGAGGCAUCAUAUAGACGGACCAAUAAUGAGGAUAUGAUUCCACAGUCCACCACCUGGGCUGGAGUGGUUGGGGAGGAGGGUGUAAAACGGUUGGAAAAGGAAGACGGGGAUAAGAAGAUGAGAGGAGAACUGAAGGAGGAUAUAAUGGCGCUUGUGUGGAGCCACAAUCCCCAGGCUCUGUCUGGACCCAGAGGCAAUAGAGGCAGCAUCUGCUCGAGGCAGAGCAUAAUGCUGAGGAGAUUGAAGAACACUAUUGAUUAAAACCAUCAAUUCAUCCUAGUUUUUUUCAUGUUUUGUUUUUGUUCUCACAGCAGUGGUUGUAACACGUGGAGGAUGGAAGAAAGAAAGCGAGAAAUCAAAACCAUGACAGACGUGUUGCAGCCUCACAACAGCACAUUAACAAAUGGUGGAUAGGAAGACUUAUUUUACAGGAAGAUAAACGGCGCAACGUGAGAGCGACGUUGGAGGAAGAGAGGUGAAGAGUGCACAUAGGAGAACAGCAGACGACGAGCGGGGAAAAUCAAGUUUAAUGUCGAGCCUGAAAAAGUCUAGGCGUGGACUCAGACGUGGACAUUUAAGCUCGUAUUGCUAUCAGAGACAGUUAUAAACACCAGCCGCCACUUUCACUGUGGAGGACCAGGAGGACUUCGCUGGAGGACCGUGAUGCUAAUUAGCCUGUUGCUACUGCUGUGACAAAGGACCCCGCCGCUGAACUUGGAUGGACACACGGACGACACCUGCUGCAUCUCGCCUGCUGCUGCUGCAUCUGCAUCUUCACCGCCGACACUUCAGACCUGCUUUGCAUCUUGGAUUGGACGGCGUGUGGUGACGAAUGACAAGCACCGGAUCCAGUUGACCCGGGAGGUGUGGAUGCUGUCAGCGUGGGAGGGAAGAACGCCGAGACAUUUCAGUGGGACUCUCCAUUCAUGCGCUAACCUCUUCAGCUGCAUUGUUUUAAGGAGAUUCGGUGGAGUGGUGCUUCAUCUAUCUCCCUCUGUCCCUUUUCUCCCCCAAAAUGAAUUCCCUUUGUCCAUCUUCUGCCUCUGUCAUUUUGCUCCGGGCGAAAUGAAUAAAAUUGGGGACACAGGUGAAAGGAUGAGCAGGUAUGAUUAAAGGUAAAGGGAAGUGAUAAUGGGGAAUAAGAGGUGAUACGAAAGGAGAAUAGAUAUGAUCAGUGGCAUCACUCUGGGGACUUACUGCACUUGUUUAUAUGCUGCUUUCUCCAUGAUUUAUUUUUUUGUUUUUUCUGAAAAGGGAAAUUUAUAUUCUUGUUGUUGAAGUGCAUCUAGUGCCAUAAUCCAGUCACAAUAACACUUUGUUCAGUCCUCUGAUUGAUGUUAUGAGUGAAUAUGUGCAAAGGGACAGAUGACUGCCCCUUUAGCUUCAGCUCUUCUCAAUGCUUAGUGAUGAUAAACAGCAUACUAACAUAGCAUUUGGCCCAAAUUAUGCACAUGUGCAUGUUUAGAAUUUUAUUUUGAAGGUGUACUAGAAUAUGUUUGCAUGCUUUAACGUUUACAACACACAUUGUUUGUACUUUAUUUUUCUGCAGCUUCUCUUGAUACCCACCAUCUGAAACAUACGGUUUUAGCACAUUUCUUUCAGGCCCAGUAAACACACGUUGGCAUUGGUUACAUACUUACCACAAUCCUAGAGCUAUAGUAGAGUAUGGAUGUUCCCCCAGCAGAGGCUUGUUUGACGGCAGGCGUUCUACUAUUGUGUUACAUGGUGACGUAACGGGGCAUUUCAGGACAUUUUAGAGGCACAAAAAACUAAAAAGAAUAGCAUUUAUUCCAAAUUGAUGAACAAUAUUGGAAAGGAGUAUUGAACUCCCUCUUAUAGAUCUUUUUUUCUGGUGAAAUGAAAAGAAUGCAAAUAAUUAAAUAAAACUGAGAAUGGGGCACUCAGAAAGCUGACACAGAUGCAUGAAAUACAACCUGUGAUGAGGCGUCAUACAGCAGGUAGACAUCCUUUAAGGGACUUUAAGCCUAAAAAAGGUGUGAAAGAUAGAUAUGAAUUGAAAAAAAGAAGCUAGAUUACAGCAUAAUCCUCCCCACAAGGUGAAAGCAGAGAGGAUGGAAAGCAAAAUUAGCUCCUAGUCCCCUCAGGUCAUAAAAGUAUGACUUGGGUUGUUCCUUUCUGCUGAAGUUACCUGUGACAGAAAUCCAAGACACAGCCACCAAACCAGACGGCAGCGAGACCAAAGUGAUCCGGCGUGUUUAACAUUCCUCAGAUAGCUCUGGGAGUUAUUUGGAGCCUGAACACAAUGAAAGGCUGAUGGGGUUUCACAGGGAGGCAAACUCACUUUCAAUCAGCAUCACAUAACGAAAGUAAACAAUAGCAAUUACAGUAAUUAGUGUUGGUUAAACUUCAGUUUUGCCACACUUGCGUGCUGAAAAUAGAAUAGUUUGACAUCAGGGAGGCUGAGACUCCUCACACAAGGCUGCCAUCUAGAGGUCACAUCCUCCCUGCAUGACUGGAAGAAUCUUAUCUUUUCCUGUGAACAUCUGAUCAAAUGAAUGCAUGUUUAUUUAUAUAUAUAUUUUUAAAAUUCCAUUUGAUGGCCAUUGCCUGCAGUCAAGGAAAGUGACCCUGUAGCACAGAUGUAUGCCAACGUUUGGGCACUGGUGGGAAUAUUUUGAUUAUAUUGAAGCGGAAGGAAAUAAAUACACCCCGGCAGCAUUCAGAAUGAGCCUUUCUCAUGUUAGCGCACUGUUGCUCUUUAUUUCAUUACAACAGAUAGAAGGACAUUAAACAUUAACUGUGGCCUCAGCAGAACGUUGUGCACCCUUCUAAUUGUAACGCCUCAGAAGUUUAUUCACUCAUUCGGGCUGAAAUAGUCGUUAUUAGCAAACUGAUGACACUUUUAAAACUGAUAAAUUCAGAAUUUUUAUCCUUGUGGCUUCUCUCAACAACCACAGGCUCCUCUAGACAACCAUCCCAUCCAGAAAUGAAGCUUCUCAGUGCCCACCAAACAGCUGAAAGCUAUAAACAGACACAAGACAGCUUCUUGCUUCGAGUCUCAGCCGUCUGGAAUGGUAUUAAGAAAUGGCAUUUAGGGGAGAUGUAGAAGUCAAGACAAAACCUGAGAGAUCAAGACUGCAAAGGCGAUGCAGGAAGCUUCAGCAGAAAUAAAAGAGAUGUUUCUUUCUCAUGAAACCUGAUCUGUCACCUCUUCACAAACAUCCUCAUCGACACCUGCAGUCUACAAAGCAACAACUUUGGUAACAAGUGCUGUAUUGGCAUCAAAGGUAUGUUUAGAUGGAAGAGAAAGGAACAGCAGUUGUGGAACUGUGUCCACUGAUUGGAGAAACACUGUGUAGAUGGAGGGAAGAACAGGUUCCACUGCAUAUCAGUAGAUUCUGGAGGCUGGUGUAAUGCAGCCACUUAAGAAAGUGAAAUUGUAAAGAAGUACUUCAAGAAACACAAGCUGAAGCUUCCAGGAAAACUCUCAAGGUGCUUUAACCUGAACAUCACUCGAAAUCUGUGGACAGAUCUAUAAUAUCUCCAAGUAAUUUGCAGAAAGAGGAAGAUUCCUGAAUAAAGAAAUGAUUUACCAAAAAGCAUUCAUGUAAAGGUGGGAUUACAAGAUAUUGACUUUGUGGCGAUGCCCAAACUUUUGCACAUGCCUGUACACCCUUUAUAUGUUUUUUUUUAAUGAAUGAAAUACAAAAUCACGCAGGGCCUCAAGUGCUUUAUUCCUCUGUUUGCUACCUGAGUGCAUUUACUUUCUUUCUGUGUUUUAAGUUUCCAUCUGCCUCCUUUUCUCAUUUCCAGUCCUUUUUCAGCACUGACAUGGUUGUGAUCAAUGAUGCUUCCAGGACUCGAUAAGCUUCAUCUCCU
This is a long non-coding RNA of Amphiprion ocellaris (clown anemonefish), 4615 nucleotides long. Lineage: Eukaryota; Metazoa; Chordata; Actinopteri; Pomacentridae. The record is from Ensembl.